UGCGGAAGGAUUCAUUAUCGUAUAAAAUGGAGGUGCUGGGGCUGUCGCUGACCUUUGAAAAAGGUCGUGCACGCCUGGAGUACAUCUCUCAUAUCCAUCUCACCCCUUUGUGCAUUGCCGCGUGGGUCCCCUUUUGGUUUGUUCCGAGGGGGACCUGCGUUUUUAUAUAGACACCCUUUGAAUGCAUGUGUAGAACGUCUUACUUUUUGCGAUCACACGCAAUCAAUACAACUUUCAACAACGGAUCUCUUGGCUCUCGCAUCGAUGAAGAACGCAGCGAAAUGCGAUACGUAAUGUGAAUWGCAGAAWUCAGUGAAUCAUCGAAUCUUUGAACGCACCUUGCGCCCCUUGGUAUUCCGAGGGGCACACCCGUUUGAGUGUCGUGAAUACUCUCAACCUUCUUGGUUUCUUUGACCACGAAGGCUUGGACUUUGGAGGUUUUUCUUGCUGGCCUCUUUUGAAGCCAGCUCCUCUUAAAUGAAUGGGUGGGGUCCGCUUUGCUGAUCCUCGACGUGAUAAGCAUUUCUUCUACGUCUCAGUGUCAGCUCGGAACCUGCUUUCCAACCGUCUWUCGACAAAGACAAUGUUCGAGUUGUGACUCGACCUUACAAACCUUGACCUCAAAUCGGGUGAGACUACCCGCUGAACUUAAGCAUAUCAAUAAGCGGAGGAA
Molecule: small RNA, 673 nt
Filed under: uncultured fungus
Lineage: Eukaryota; Fungi
Description: eukaryotic LSU rRNA
Rfam family: 5.8S ribosomal RNA (bases 230-383)
Source: RNAcentral